Molecule: small RNA, 138 nt
Filed under: Arabidopsis thaliana (thale cress)
Lineage: Eukaryota; Viridiplantae; Streptophyta; Magnoliopsida; Brassicales; Brassicaceae
Description: ATSL173720
Source: RNAcentral
UUUUUAUAAAACUGAAGCCCAUCUUCCUCUAUAAAACAUAACCAACUCCUUCUGAUUAAACCGAGAUUAGAACUAAACGGAUAUUAAAACAACAAAGAUUAAUGACUAAAUCGAGAUUUCUCUCUCACCCUUUUUUUU